This is an RNA transcript of Dendrobium catenatum, 1243 nucleotides long. It is a transcript of the gene named calcium load-activated calcium channel-like, with no coding region annotated. NCBI's taxonomy places the organism in Eukaryota, Viridiplantae, Streptophyta, Magnoliopsida, Asparagales, Orchidaceae. The transcript is spliced from 3 exons. The record is from RefSeq and is a predicted model, not a curated record.
UGUCGUCGUCCACCUCGAACCCUUUAACUCUUUUUGGACCUCCCCUCUCCCUGAACCGAACUCGACCUAGAAAAGGCAUCGAUCGCCGGUGAUGGCAUCGUUUCUCUCAUCUUUCAAGUACGCCGACAGCCUUGUGGUCGUCGGCAUCUCCAUAGGCACGGCAUUCUUAUGCGAAGGGAUCUCAUGGAUCCUCAUCUACCGCACCAAUACCUAUAAAUCCCUCCGGUCUUCCAUUGAUAAGGCCUCCAAAAAGCUCGAAUCCAUGAAAUCCCCCGCUUCCACCGCUUCCGCUGAUGGUGCAUCUGCGAUCCCCUCCACCGGUCGGCGAUCCUCCUCCCGCGUAAAGAAGAUGGAUCGGGUUGAGAGCAGCCUCAAGGAGUCCACGCGCGACCUCUCCCUCUCGAAGUUUAAGUCUGGAUUCGUCGUUGCGGUGGUGCUCUUCGUCAUCUUCGGCCUCCUUAAUUCCAUGUUCGAGGGCCGGGCUGUGGCGAAGCUGCCCUUCUCGCCUGUGUCGUUCGUGCUCAAGAUGAGCCAUCGUGGGAUACGUGGUGAUGAUCCCACGGAUUGUUCUAUGGCCUUCCUAUAUUUUCUCUGCUCGAUUAGUAUUCGGACUAAUCUUCAGAAGUUUUUGGGCUUCGCUCCGCCAAGGGGCGCCGCGGGGGCGGGGCUAUUCCCGAUGCCAGAUACCAAGACUAGUUAACUUGAGGAAACAUUGAAGAAUCGAAGAUUUUUUAUUGGGAGAUCAUCAUUAGCAACAACAACAAUAGGAUUUUGGAUUGGAACAUAUGUUUGUGCUUUAGCAGUGACAUUCAUAACAUUGGUUGAUUUUAAUUGCUCUUCUGCGUAUUUUAAGGGAGGGCGCGAAUCACCAUUCAAAGAGAGUUCAUCCAAUCCAAUUCGUAAUUUUGAUAUACCGAUGAAAUUCCUAUCAAAUACUCAAUAUUUUUACCAUAAUCUUUUAAACCCCUCUCUAUUUUAAGAUGUAGAAUAAGUGUAUUGCUUAAUAUUAGCAAACCUCUAACAAAAUUACAGAUUCACUACAGAACCCACCUGCAGGAAGCUCACUUCUUGCCUAUCUUGAUCAUGUUAACUAUCCUGCUUAAGCUUUCGUUACUUUUAAGGUUUGACCGUCAGUUUAUUUGUGCAAUGAUUAGUAAUUGUUUCUGCAUCUUUAUGUUGUAUCGAUUGCGUCCGCAUUGUUCGCACAUUUUCUCCAUAAAGGAUUGUUUAUUUCUUCUUUCUA